This 107-nucleotide small nucleolar RNA is filed under the name Nicotiana tabacum (common tobacco). RNAcentral describes it as "Plant small nucleolar RNA R71". It matches the Rfam family "Plant small nucleolar RNA R71". From Rfam's summary of the family: R71 is a member of the C/D box family of snoRNAs containing the C (UGAUGA) and D (CUGA) box motifs. Multiple nearly identical copies of this snoRNA have been identified in Arabidopsis, and it is thought to function as a 2'-O-ribose methylation guide for 18S ribosomal RNA. The record is from Rfam by way of RNAcentral. Lineage: Eukaryota; Viridiplantae; Streptophyta; Magnoliopsida; Solanales; Solanaceae.
AUUUUGCUAUGUUGACACUUUCUAACAUUCUCCUUAAGCCUCUCCCAUGCUUCAAAAAUAGUUUCAUUCUCUUUCUGGCAGAAGUUAUCGAUUUCUAUUCUAAACUU